GACGAACGCUGGCGGCGUGCUUAACACAUGCAAGUCGAACGGAAAGGCCCUGCUUGCAGGGUACUCGAGUGGCGAACGGGUGAGUAACACGUGGGUGAUCUGCCCUGCACUUCGGGAUAAGCUUGGGAAACUGGGUCUAAUACCGGAUAGGAGCCAUCCUUAGUGUGGUGGUUGGAAAGUUUUUUCGGUGUAGGAUGAGCUCGCGGCCUAUCAGCUUGUUGGUGGGGUAAUGGCCUACCAAGGCGGCGACGGGUAGCCGGCCUGAGAGGGUGUACGGCCACAUUGGGACUGAGAUACGGCCCAGACUCGUGCGGGAGGCAGCAGUGGGGAAUAUUGCACAAUGGGCGCAAGCCUGAUGCAGCGACGCCGCGUGGGGGAUGAAGGCCUUCGGGUUGUAAACUCCUUUCGCUAGGGACGAAGCUUUGUUGUGACGGUACCUAGAUAAGAAGCACCGGCUAACUACGUG
Molecule: ribosomal RNA, 466 nt
Filed under: uncultured bacterium
Lineage: Bacteria
Description: partial 16S ribosomal RNA
Rfam family: Bacterial small subunit ribosomal RNA
Source: RNAcentral